GUGUGUGGUAUAUUUAUUGAAGUUGAGGGAUGAUAAAUGAAAUUUAGCCAUAAGUUAACCUAGAAACCUGUAAUAGCAAGUCAUAGGGAAUUUUAAUGAUACUCAAAUUAAAAUUAAGGGAUUUUUAUGAUAUAAAUUAGAGUUGAGUGAUAGUACUCAUAUAAUCAAGUUGAGGAACUAUGAGUAAAAUUAACCCUCCACAGUAAUUUAUUAGAAUUGUUCAUACCUUGUAAAAUGACAAUGGCAUAAAAAUGUUAUGUAAAUCGCCAUUAUGUCACGUAAUAGCGUGAAUAUAGAUUAUA
This 302-nucleotide unclassified non-coding RNA is filed under the name Hevea brasiliensis (rubber tree). Lineage: Eukaryota; Viridiplantae; Streptophyta; Magnoliopsida; Malpighiales; Euphorbiaceae. The record is from RNAcentral.